This 253-nucleotide ribosomal RNA is filed under the name uncultured bacterium. RNAcentral's name for it is "partial 16S ribosomal RNA". It matches the Rfam family "Bacterial small subunit ribosomal RNA", at positions 524 to 776 of the family's 1533-position model. The record is from RNAcentral.
UACAGAGGGGGCAAGCGUUAUUCGGAAUUAUUGGGCGUAAAGGGCGCGUAGGCGGCCUGGCAAGUGGAAGGUGAAAUCCCUCGGCUUAACCGAGGAACUGCCCUCCAAACUGCUUGGCUUGAGUCCGGGAGAGGUGAGUGGAAUUCCCAGUGUAGCGGUGAAAUGCGUAGAUAUUGGGAGGAACACCAGUGGCGAAGGCGGCUCACUGGACCGGAACUGACGCUGAGGAGCGAAAGCGUGGGGAGCGAUCCGG